RNAcentral lists this small RNA (106 nucleotides) under Marmota monax (woodchuck). Lineage: Eukaryota; Metazoa; Chordata; Mammalia; Rodentia; Sciuridae. The record is from RNAcentral.
GCUGGGUGUGGUGGUGCACUUCUGUAAUCCCAGCAACUCAGAGAGCUGAAGCAGGAGGAUCCCAAAUUCAAGGCCAGCCUUAGUAACUUGUGAGACCCUGCCUCAA